RNAcentral lists this ribosomal RNA (497 nucleotides) under uncultured bacterium. RNAcentral's name for it is "partial 16S ribosomal RNA". It matches the Rfam family "Bacterial small subunit ribosomal RNA", at positions 28 to 507 of the family's 1533-position model. The record is from RNAcentral.
GACGAACGCUGGCGGCGUGCCUAAUACAUGCAAGUUGAGCGAUGAAGAUUGGUGCUUGCACCAAUUUGAAGAGCAGCGAACGGGUGAGUAACGCGUGGGGAAUCUGCCUUUGAGCGGGGGACAACAUUUGGAAACGAAUGCUAAUACCGCAUAACAACUUUAAACAUAAGUUUUAAGUUUGAAAGAUGCAAUUGCAUCACUCAAAGAUGAUCCCGCGUUGUAUUAGCUAGUUGGUGAGGUAAAGGCUCACCAAGGCGAUGAUACAUAGCCGACCUGAGAGGGUGAUCGGCCACAUUGGGACUGAGACACGGCCCAAACUCCUACGGGAGGCAGCAGUAAGGAAUCUUCGGCAAUGGACGAAAGUCUGACCGAGCAACGCCGCGUGAGUGAAGAAGGGUGUCGGAUCGUAAAACUCGGUUGGUAGAGAAGAACGUUGGUGAGAGUGGAAAGCUCAUCAAGUGACGGUAACUACCCAGAAAGGGACGGCUAACUACGUG